CGGAGUAAGCGGGCCUUGAUCCCACAAAAACUAGUUAACAGCUAAUUACCCUAGCCA
RNAcentral lists this transfer RNA (57 nucleotides) under Anolis fuscoauratus. RNAcentral's name for it is "partial tRNA-Asn". The record is from RNAcentral. Lineage: Eukaryota; Metazoa; Chordata; Lepidosauria; Squamata; Anolidae.